Cricetulus griseus (Chinese hamster) is the source of this 946-nucleotide non-coding RNA. The record is from RefSeq and is a predicted model, not a curated record. Lineage: Eukaryota; Metazoa; Chordata; Mammalia; Rodentia; Cricetidae.
GAGGCAGCCACUCUCCUGGAUUCUUUCCUCACAAUAAGUCCUUUGAGUGAGGAUUGGGUGUCAACCUUCUUUCUAUAGAGUGAGGCAAUGCAGAGAAAUAACUUUUCCCAGAGUAGGAACAAACCUGUUAUACCUCUGAUGGAAAAUUCCCUUAGCAGAGGGGAGAAGAGAAGUAACAACAUUCUCUGGUUCAAAGGCAGAACUGCUACAUUCCUGCACUAAACCAUCCCCACCAGAACAGAGCUAUAACACCUUAAAAACAAAUAAAUAUUUCAAUUUAGAUCAAGUUUUACAAAUACGUGAACAAAGGAGGACCAAUAACAAACAAUUCCUCUUGUUGAAAAGGGGAGAGAAUUGGGACACACAGUAAACAGUCCAGGUUUACAGUUGCUUUAAGGGCAUGAACCUAAGCAUCUCAAAGCAUGUUGUAGAUAGGCAAGGUGACACACUGGGCUCAUAUGUACUCUGUAAAGCCGAACAGAUUUUCUGGUAAAUACACAGGCUUGUCACCUCUCCUCUGAGGCACAAUUGCUGUCAUGAAUACAAAGCUGUUGAGAUUUCAACCUCAGGUCAUUGAUAUAUAUAUUCUCUGCUGUUAGCAUUAACCUUGGCGCCAUCCUGGACAACCAAGAAGAUCAGCAGGUCAUUUGAGGUGGGCCAAUGAUGUUCCCAUUUCCCCAGCACUACUUCUUCAACACCAGUCAUGUAGGAAGCCGGUUCCUGCAUUAUAAUGUUGCCUGAAGACACCAAGAUACACAAAGGUUGAAUUUUUCAAUCACCAGUCAACCCUAGGAAAUCUCAAAUUAAAUCUCUGAAUGUUGGAGAGAUGACUGCCAUGUGUGGCUGAAAUCUGGGGAAAGAAGAAUCUCCUCAUAUAUGGAAGCAGGAGAGGCUUCAUCCAGUAGCUGAUAAAAGCAGAAACAGGCACCGACAGCUAAACACUGAG